CAUGUAGGCGGUUGGAUAAGUCUGUUGUUAAAGCCCCCGGCUCAACUGGGGAGGUCAAUGGAGACUGUCCGACUUGAGGGCAACAGAGGCACAUGGAACUCCCGGUGUAGCGGUGGAAUGCGUAGAGAUCGGGAAGAACACCCGUGGCGAAGGCGGUGUGCUGGGUUGCAACUGACGCUGAGAUGCGAAAGUGUGGGUAGCAAACG
Molecule: ribosomal RNA, 206 nt
Filed under: uncultured bacterium
Lineage: Bacteria
Description: partial 16S ribosomal RNA
Rfam family: Bacterial small subunit ribosomal RNA
Source: RNAcentral